Molecule: non-coding RNA, 32 nt
Filed under: Mus musculus (house mouse)
Lineage: Eukaryota; Metazoa; Chordata; Mammalia; Rodentia; Muridae
Source: RNAcentral
UGAAGCAGGUCAAGCUACCAUUGUGAAGGGUU